UGAAUAUAAUAAGUCGCGAACAAGCCCACAUGGAGCAUUCCCAUUUGUCAAAGACAACCUAAAGGUUAUGAGUGUGGUUACUACAUUAUGAUACAUAUGUUGAACAUUGUAUCUAGUGGUCUUGUUGAUUCAUGGAUGCGAAUAUUUGGAGAAUCAAAACCAUUCGAAGAUGAAGAAAUGAUGAAUGUCCGACAACGUUGUGCAAACUUGAUUCUUGAACUAAUAGAAAAUGUUUGAAGCACUUGUAUCAUUUUAGUAUCUUUAGACUGUUAAUAGAAGAUAAUGUUUUUUUU
Cicer arietinum (chickpea) is the source of this 293-nucleotide non-coding RNA. The record is from RefSeq and is a predicted model, not a curated record. NCBI's taxonomy places the organism in Eukaryota, Viridiplantae, Streptophyta, Magnoliopsida, Fabales, Fabaceae.